GCGGCGGGCCGGCCCCCGCAUUAAGCGCGGCCCCCCUGGGGAAUUGGCUCCGCAGGGGGCUGAGCCGGCCACGCGCAGGGCCGGGCCUCCCCUGGGAGCUGUUCUGGGGCCGCUUGGCUUCAGCACCUUCCUCAGUGAUGUAGAGACUGCAGUAAGUUUCCCGUGACACCCUGUACAAUGCAGUGCUGUAGAUCCUGCAAGGGACUCAAGUGAAACCACGCAAGUUUGCGGAAACUGUGGAGCUGCUGAUCAGCCUGAAAAACUAUGACCCACAGAAGGACAAACAUUUCUGGCACAGUCAGGCUUGGCACCUCUCUGAUUCCACCCAGCCUUUGGCCUGCAACCUUCUCCCUCCAGGCACUUUGAAUGUACAUGUGGUUGGCAACACGUUGACUGCUUGAUACAAUGGCAGGAGGGUGCAGUGCUGAAUUGCCUGGGUAGUUCAUACACACACACACACACACCCCGUCUCCAAGUGGUAUGGCUGGACAGACCCCUAUCCUGGGUCUUAAAAUGUGAGCGGAGAUGUGGUGAGGCUCCUGUGCUGAUCCCUCUGACCAGUUGGAGAAGCCAGAUUAGAGGCAGGUGGAUAAAGAUUCACAGGUGAUUGUUGUAAGGUUUCUGGGCUGUAGCUCUGCCUGCUCCCUCAAGGUGUGUGGUGCUGACAGUGCAGAAGGACAGUGUGGGGGUGUCAUCUUCCCUUCCUGACAGGCUCAAGUCCUUCCUGUGCCCUAAAUUCUCACUCUGCAUGCUGGGGGUCCAGUGACACUGAUGAGGCCAAAGCAGUCAAAUAUCCCUCAUGUGGACAUCAAGGCUCUG
Mauremys mutica (yellowpond turtle) is the source of this 819-nucleotide long non-coding RNA. RefSeq lists it as uncharacterized. NCBI's taxonomy places the organism in Eukaryota, Metazoa, Chordata, Testudines, Geoemydidae. The transcript has 3 exons. The record is from RefSeq and is a predicted model, not a curated record.